Long non-coding RNA from Ailuropoda melanoleuca (giant panda), 1237 nucleotides. RefSeq lists it as uncharacterized. The record is from RefSeq and is a predicted model, not a curated record. The transcript has 3 exons. NCBI's taxonomy places the organism in Eukaryota, Metazoa, Chordata, Mammalia, Carnivora, Ursidae.
GAAAGAUAUCAUGCCCAAGAUCACACCGCUGUUUGACUCAGCUGCAAGUGGAAGUCUUAUGUAUCCAUCCCAGUCCAGUUGUGGAGGGUCCCCGAGUUAAAGCCUUGCUCCAAGCUGGAUUGGUGUUCACACUUCACACGUGCAGGAAUGGCUGCAACAAUCCUAGGCCUGAAUCAUCCCAGUGGAACUGAACAGAGAGCCUCUCCGUUGUGCCUCAUUGGCUCUGAUUGGGUCAGUUGGCCAUCCCUGAACAAAUCCCUGUGGUCAGGAGAUUGGGAUGCUCUGAUUGCUGAAGCUGAGACAAAGACCCACACUGCAAGGCCAAGGGUAAAAUCAACCCUGUCUAAACCGUAGGGACCAAGAUCUGGGAUGGAGAGAUUUCACAAAGGAAGAUCUUGUUGCCAAAGAAGGUGGAAUGGACCUUUGGCCACAAAAGGUUUGUAUGUCCACUCCCAGGGACUGACUGUUGAGGAUCUCCCGGAGAUACUGGAGCCCUUCCUAUUGUGUGGACACUUAGGCCUGGAUGCUUUAAUUGCCCUCACAGCAGUGGAGUCUGCAGGCCUGUGCUCUGAGGUACAAGAAAGGGAAAGGCCAAGAAAUGUAGCUGGUGUGGGGCUUAGCAGUCAUCCAGCCUUCUCGUUAGAGAAGCAUAUGACACCAGAGAGGGUGAGGAACUUGCCUGAGGCCACAGAAAGUUGAAGCCGAGUUGGGAUUCGAACUUAGCAGAUAAGAAGGCCAGAACGAGGCUCUGUCUGUGUGUCUGGCAGCUGUCACAUUCAUUAGCUCCCUGACAUCUAUCUCCUUGUUUCCUUGUAUAUUUUUACAAGGUUGUUAAUUACCAGCCAUAAAGCUCAGCAAACAUUUUGAUAGGCUUUAAAAGCUCAUGAAAACAACAUUACAUUUUAAGGCAUGGUUUCCUAAUUAAUCUAAUUAACUAUCAGCUUCACAUCCUGCUGGCUUCAAGACAAGGCGAGCUGUGCCUCUCAACGUCUGAUUCAGCCCCAGUGGACAGGGCUGGGGCCUUUCGAGAUCACAGUCCUCCAGCCCAGAAACUAGCCAACACGUGGCCCGAGCUGUGGGUUCUCUGAAGCAGCGUCUCGAUGUUGAGCAUUGCUCGGGCUUAUUUCCUUGGAUGAUCUGUCUCUAGGAUAAGGACACAGUGGUUGGAGAUGCCCAAGAGUAAAGCAAGCGCAUGGAUGACUAGCCACCUCAGCUUAGGACCAUCGCAGAAGGCCAA